This is a long non-coding RNA of Ictalurus punctatus (channel catfish), 354 nucleotides long. NCBI's taxonomy places the organism in Eukaryota, Metazoa, Chordata, Actinopteri, Siluriformes, Ictaluridae. The record is from Ensembl.
GGGGGACGCGUGCGCGUGAGGGAGGGACUGAGAGGGAGAGCGCGUGCGUGAGCGAGCGUGAGUGAGGGAGAAGGCGAAGCGUGGAAACGUACAGCGCGCGCACCGUCACCACGGAGCAGCGCUUUGAUCUCCAAAGCUCAGGACGAGGCAGCAGACCGACGGCUCGCGUUUCUGAUCGAGACCGACCCUAACGCGGUCCGUCACCUCGCCAGCGACGGCGCCGCCACCUUUUUGCAGCACAAACGGCGAGCCUGUGCAGGAAGCUUAGAAUCCAGGUGGGGCGUCUAUUUCGGACGUUACAGCGGACAGUACGGUACAUGUGACCAGUUAGUAGGCUGAGAAGCUUAAUCCGAG